ACCUUAUCAUGGACUCUUGGUAUUUCCACGUUCUCCCUUUCCACAUGCCAUAUUUUGGUGUCCAGAUUUUUCUACAUAGAGGAGGAGUCCUUCUACUUUUUAAACUCUUCCUAUUCCAUGCCUUAACCCAUGGGAUUACAUGCAAAAAUUAAUAUGGAGCAUGUAAGGGAUUUGGGACACCAAGAGUUGGCGCCCCUUGAUGUCUUGGGUGGCGCCCCUUCAUCCUUUAUUUAUGGGGCAGCCCAUAUGGCAUAAAAUUCAUUCAAAAUUUAUUUUGGAUCUGGGAUUAG
Molecule: long non-coding RNA, 290 nt
Filed under: Elaeis guineensis (African oil palm)
Lineage: Eukaryota; Viridiplantae; Streptophyta; Magnoliopsida; Arecales; Arecaceae
Description: long non-coding RNA (EGUI_LNC076310)
Source: RNAcentral